RNAcentral lists this ribosomal RNA (765 nucleotides) under Scolopocryptops nigridius. Its description in RNAcentral is "eukaryotic LSU rRNA". It matches the Rfam family "Eukaryotic large subunit ribosomal RNA", at positions 700 to 1138 of the family's 3401-position model. The record is from RNAcentral. Lineage: Eukaryota; Metazoa; Arthropoda; Chilopoda; Scolopendromorpha; Cryptopidae.
ACGAAACCUGAACGGCGCAAUGAAAGUGAAGGCCGACCGUCUCGCUUCCCCUUCUCUCUCUCGUGGAGGUUGGGGUUGGCAGCGGUGAGCCAAGGCGGGAUCCGAGAAACACAGCCGGGGUGUACAGAAAAUUCGACCCGUGCGCCGUAUUCAUUCUCUUUCCGUUUCUUCCCUUCCUCACGGGGGUGGAAGAGCGGGGAGGUUUGGAGGCGUCGGGUGAGCUAACAAAAAUUACGCUCGCACCCCGGUCGGCGCACCGCCGGCCCGUCUCCAUGCCGCAACGUCGGUGAGGCGGAGCCAGAGCGUACACGUUGGGACCCGAAAGAUGGUGAACUAUGCUUGGGCAGGACGAANCCAGAGGAAACUCUGGUGGAGGUCCGUAGCGAUUCUGACGUGCAAAUCGAUCGUCGGACCUGAGUAUAGGGGCGAAAGACUAAUCGAACCGUCUAGUAGCUGGUUCCCUCCGAAGUUUCCCUCAGGAUAGCUGGCGCUCGGUGAGGAACGCANUCUCAUCCGGUAAAGCGAAUGAUUAGAGGCCUUGGGGCCGAAACGACCUCAACCUAUUCUCAAACUUUCAAUGGGUGAGAAGUCCGGCAUGCUCGACUGAAGCCCGGACGGCAUCCUCAAAAAUUGAAAAAAAAAGAGGUGCAAAAAUAUGAAAAAAUUGGCAUAAAAUGGAGGCAGAGGCGGUACUUGUAUCGUGCUCACCUUCGAUAAACAAAUUGCCAAGACAAAACGGAUGCGAGUGCCCAGUGGGCCAAUUUU